GAAAGGAAUGCUAAUACCGCAUAAGACCACGGUCAGUUCGCUGAUCGAGGUAAAAGCUGGCCUCUACUUGUAAGCUAGCACCUAGGGAUGAGCCUGCGGCCCAUCAGCUUGUUGGUAGGGUAACGGCCUACCAAGAUUAGGACGGGUAGCUGGUCUGAGAGGAUGAUCAGCCACACUGGCACUGAAACACGGGCCAGACUCCUACGGGAGGCAGCAGUCGGGAAUAUUGGACAAUGGGCGAAAGCCUGAUCCAGCGACGCCGCGUGAGUGAUGAAGGCCUUCGGGUUGUAAAGCUCUGCGGGGAGGGAAGAAAAAGAUGUGUUCAAAUAGGGCAUGUUAUUGACGGUACCUCCUUAGCAAGCACCGGCUAACUCUGUGCCAGCAGCCGCGGUAAGACAGAGGGUGCGAACGUUGCUCGGAAUUACUGGGCGUAAAGCGCGUGUAGGUGGAUUGGUAAGUCAGAUGUGAAAGCCCCUGGGCUCAACCUAGGAUCUGCAUUUGAAACUGCCAGUCUUGAUUGGUG
This 523-nucleotide ribosomal RNA is filed under the name uncultured bacterium. RNAcentral's name for it is "bacterial SSU rRNA". It matches the Rfam family "Bacterial small subunit ribosomal RNA", at positions 153 to 651 of the family's 1533-position model. The record is from RNAcentral.